AUAACUCAGAACAGGCUGCCAGCUGUGUUUCCUCAGCUGCAGUGCAAGUGGGGCAUGCUCCGUUGAGACUUUAUUCACUCUGGGCAGUUUGUUGAAGAUUAGGUGGUCAGCUCACAAUGAAUCAUAAGCUGCUUUUGUCCCUUGCUGUCUAUGCUUAGAAGCUAAAAGGUUAAGCAGCGAUGUCAGCGCUAUCAGGGAGCUGUGGAGACUGGAAUUGAAGUUCAGAACCUUUCAUGGGAGACAGCUCAGAUGUAUUUCUGUGCAAAACUUGUCUCCAAGGAAGACUCUAAUCUUCUAAACUCUGGAUUUAUAUGAUUUCUCAAUAUGCUAUAUCAACCUCAUUUUGCUAAUAAUGAUACAGGACGGAGGCAGCAAAGUUCUGGAUAGAGAAGGAUGGGGUCCCUGGUGAGGGCUCCACCCUCAGGCCUGUGCCCAUGGACCUAAGUAUGGACAAGCACUCCUGUUUUUGCACCCAAAUGUUGCAUUUUCCAAGACCACUCUGACCCAACACAUGCUCCAUCCUGUGCUUAUAAAAAUCCCGAGACCCUAACAGGCACACACAGAAGUGGCUGGACGUUGAGAGGAGCAGAAGAGCACACUGACAGACACCAGCAAAUGCUCGCAGGCCAUCGAGGGCAGGAUGAGGAUGACUUGGAAUUUGGCAGGGGAUGAUUAGAGGAGAGUCUGGCCACUGGGCAGCCAACUCCACAUUCCCACUUAAUCCUCCUUCUGUUCUCCCCAUCCAUCUUGCUGAGAGCUACCUCCGCUCAAUAAAAUCUUGCACCCACCCUCAAAGCCUAUGUGUGAUCCAAUUUUUCCGGUACAUGAAGGCAAGAACCCAGGAUACAGAAAGCCCUCUGUCCUUGUUGAGCUAAUUAACAAAAGCCACUUGCAGAUGGCAAAACUGAAAGUGCACACUGUAACACAUGCCCACUGGGGCCUCAGGAGCUGUAAACACUCAAGCCUAGAUACUACCAUGGGAUUGGAGCCCAAAAUGCUUUCCACAGCCUCCCUGACUGCAUGCUCCCCACCCGCUUGGGGUUUGAGCAGAGGGGCACCAAAGAAGCCAGUCACACCCCUGUUGCAGUCCCUAUGAAGGGGAUAAAGGAACUUUUCUUGUUUCAACUGGGGGCUUGUCCGGAAUCCCCAAAGGUGAGUGCAAAUGUGAAACUGUCAGAUCUGCCUCUUUUCCAAAACCCGGCCACCUCUCUCUCUCUUUCCUGUGGGUAAAAAGCUCUGUUUCCCUUCAUGGAGUCUUAACUGCCCUAACUGGGCUGGUUAAAAUCCCCAGACUUCUUAUUUUUUUCUCUCUUUCACUGUUUGAAAUGGCUCUUAUAUCUUUCUUUAUAAUGUUAAGAGUUUUGCUACAGGCUGCCAAAGGUGCAAAUCAGAC
Molecule: long non-coding RNA, 1393 nt
Filed under: Homo sapiens (human)
Lineage: Eukaryota; Metazoa; Chordata; Mammalia; Primates; Hominidae
Description: HSALNT0108744
Source: RNAcentral